AAGGCGAACCGGGAGAACUGAAACAUCUAAGUACCCCGAGGAAAAGAAAUCAACCGAGAUUCUGUGAGUAGCGGCGAGCGAAAGCGGAGUAGCCAGUAAGUGAUAGCAUGUGAUUUAGGAGAAUUAGCUGGGAAGCUAAGCGACACAGGGUGAUAGCCCCGUAUCUGAAAGAUUGCAUGUGGUACUAAGCUUACGAUAAGUAGGGCGGGACACGAGGAAUCCUGUUUGAAGAUGGGGGGACCAUCCUCCAAGGCUAAAUACUCCUGAUUGACCGAUAGUGAACCAGUACUGUGAAGGAAAGGCGAAAAGAACCCCGGUGAGGGGAGUGAAAUAGAACCUGAAACCCUGUACGUACAAGCAGUGGGAGCCCCAUCAUUAAGCCAAAGGCUCGAUGAUGAGUAGCGCACCUUUUGUUGGAAGUGCGGUUGACUUCACGCAGUGAAGUCUAACCCGAGAAAAUCAAACAGAGGGGGCUUAAUGAUGGGGUGACUGCGUACCUUUUGUAUAAUGGGUCAGCGACUUAUAUUUUGUAGCGAGGUUAACUGAAUAAGGGAGCCGAAGGGAAACCGAGUCUUAACUGGGCGGUUAGUUGCAAGGUAUAGACCCGAAACCCGGUGAUCUAGCCAUGGGCAGGUUGAAGGUUGGGUAACACUAACUGGAGGACCGAACCGACUAAUGUUGAAAAAUUAGCGGAUGA
RNAcentral lists this ribosomal RNA (697 nucleotides) under Avibacterium paragallinarum. RNAcentral's name for it is "bacterial LSU rRNA". It matches the Rfam family "Bacterial large subunit ribosomal RNA", at positions 176 to 807 of the family's 2925-position model. Lineage: Bacteria; Pseudomonadati; Pseudomonadota; Gammaproteobacteria; Pasteurellales; Pasteurellaceae. The record is from RNAcentral.